UCUUCACUUUUUCUAAAGGUU
Molecule: non-coding RNA, 21 nt
Filed under: Caenorhabditis elegans
Lineage: Eukaryota; Metazoa; Nematoda; Chromadorea; Rhabditida; Rhabditidae
Source: RNAcentral